Molecule: ribosomal RNA, 427 nt
Filed under: uncultured bacterium
Lineage: Bacteria
Description: partial 16S ribosomal RNA
Rfam family: Bacterial small subunit ribosomal RNA
Source: RNAcentral
UGGGGAAUAUUGGACAAUGGGCGAAAGCCUGAUCCAGCCAUGCCGCGUGUGUGAAGAAGGUCUUCGGAUUGUAAAGCACUUUAAGUUGGGAGGAAGGGUUGUAGAUUAAUACUCUGCAAUUUUGACGUUACCGACAGAAUAAGCACCGGCUAACUCUGUGCCAGCAGCCGCGGUAAUACAGAGGGUGCAAGCGUUAAUCGGAAUUACUGGGCGUAAAGCGCGCGUAGGUGGUUAGUUAAGUUGGAUGUGAAAUCCCCGGGCUCAACCUGGGAACUGCAUUCAAAACCGACUGACUAGAGUAUGGUAGAGGGUGGUGGAAUUUCCUGUGUAGCGGUGAAAUGCGUAGAUAUAGGAAGGAACACCAGUGGCGAAGGCGACCACCUGGACUGAUACUGACACUGAGGUGCGAAAGCGUGGGGAGCAAACA